This 481-nucleotide ribosomal RNA is filed under the name uncultured bacterium. Its description in RNAcentral is "bacterial SSU rRNA". It matches the Rfam family "Bacterial small subunit ribosomal RNA", at positions 30 to 505 of the family's 1533-position model. The record is from RNAcentral.
AUUGAACGCUGGCGGCAUGCCUUACACAUGCAAGUCGAACGGCAGCACGGGAGCAAUCCUGGUGGCGAGUGGCGAACGGGUGAGUAAUAUAUCGGAACGUGCCCAGUCGUGGGGGAUAACGUAGCGAAAGCUACGCUAAUACCGCAUACGAUCUAUGGAUGAAAGCGGGGGAUCGCAAGACCUCGCGCGAUUGGAGCGGCCGAUAUCAGAUUAGGUAGUUGGUGAGGUAAAGGCUCACCAAGCCGACGAUCUGUAGCUGGUCUGAGAGGACGACCAGCCACACUGGGACUGAGACACGGCCCAGACUCCUACGGGAGGCAGCAGUGGGGAAUUUUGGACAAUGGGCGCAAGCCUGAUCCAGCAAUGCCGCGUGCAGGAUGAAGGCCCUCGGGUUGUAAACUGCUUUUGUACGGAACGAAAGGUUUGUCUUAAUACGAUGAGCUCAUGACGGUACCGUAAGAAUAAGCACCGGCUAACUACG